CUACGUCACAAGAACCUGUGGAACCACCCGAUCCCAUCCCGAACUCGGAAGUGAAACGCAGCUGCGCCGAUGGUAGUGUGGCUCAAGCCAUGCGAGAGUAGGUCAUCGCCAGGG
RNAcentral lists this ribosomal RNA (114 nucleotides) under Stenotrophomonas nitritireducens. Lineage: Bacteria; Pseudomonadati; Pseudomonadota; Gammaproteobacteria; Lysobacterales; Lysobacteraceae. The record is from RNAcentral.